GUAGCGGCGGACGGGUGAGUAAUGCUUAGGAAUCUGCCUAUUAGUGGGGGCCAACAUUCCGAAAGGAAUGCUUAAUACCGCAUACGUCCUACGGGAGAAAGCAGGGGAUCUUCGGCCCUUGCGCUAAUAGAUGAACCUAAGUCAGAUUAGCUAGUUGGUGGGGUAAAGGCCUACCAAGGCAACGAUCUGUAGUUGGUCUGAGAGGACGCCCAGCCCCUGGGACUGAGACACGGCCCAGACUCCUACGGGAGGCAGCAGUGGGGAAUUUUGGACAAUGGGCGCAAGCCUGAUCCAGCAAUGCCGCGUGCAGGAAGAAGGCCUUCGGGUUGUAAACUGCUUUUGUCAGGGAAGAAAUCUUCUGGGUUAAUACCUCGGGAGGAUGACGGU
RNAcentral lists this ribosomal RNA (387 nucleotides) under uncultured bacterium. Its description in RNAcentral is "bacterial SSU rRNA". It matches the Rfam family "Bacterial small subunit ribosomal RNA", at positions 92 to 476 of the family's 1533-position model. The record is from RNAcentral.